RNAcentral lists this long non-coding RNA (6788 nucleotides) under Homo sapiens (human). Its description in RNAcentral is "HSALNT0129280". The record is from RNAcentral. Lineage: Eukaryota; Metazoa; Chordata; Mammalia; Primates; Hominidae.
AGAGCUGCAGGGGAAGUGGAUUAAGGAGGAGACUGACCUUGGUUUGGGUUUCUUUGAAGUCAAAGCCUGAGAUAAGAGCUUGAGUAUAGGAAGGUUAUUUGGGAAGUAAGCUCAGGAGCCAGGAGUGAGGAAGUGGAAAGAGUAAAACAGGAAGGGAGAAAAGCUAAUAAAGGGUCUGUUAAUGAUUGGUUACUGCUUUGGGCAACUGGGGCUCAGUCCUGGGAACCCUCAGAGGAACAGCGCAGAACUAGGAUAGGGGAGCUGGAGUGUUUGCCCACGGAUCUUUUACCAUUGGUUAAGCCCUCAUUACCUUUUCUGCACUUCCAGGUUGCACCUACAGGUGGCUGCUGAGUGCCUUUUGAACUUCAGAGGAAGGCUUGUGUGAGCAAGGCAGAGACCUUAUGUUGGAGAUGGAAUGCUGCAAAAUGCAUGGAACUGUCCACCACCACUGUGCUGAAAUCAAGUGGAUCAAGGAGAUGUGGCACGUUGCAUCAUGACCAUCUGCUGCAGAGAUGUCCACGCAGCUGAGUAGGAGUAGGAUUGAACUUUGGCCUCAGGCUGUGAUGCAUGCUGUUGGACUGAUCCCUUCUGCUGCUGCUACUCAGAUCCCCUGGCUGGACUUGCAGCUCCUGGGGGAACACAUGCCUCAUGUCCUGGAAAGAACACAGUUCUGGAGUCAGAGGCCAUCAUUUCAUCUGGGCUAACUGUGUCUUGGUCCCUGACUAAUAUUGAGGCAAUGAAUGCAGAGUAUAGCUCAGCCCCAUCCUGGUUGAGAAAUUUCAAACAUACCAGGAAAGUAAAAGAUACGAGAGCCUUAACAAGGUUGUAAAUAUACAUGAAGUCAUCCUCUGCCUUUCUUCUUUCCUUGAGGCUAUGAUCUUUGCUACACGGGCUACAAUCUGAGUGUGGAGUGCUAAUUGCCAAAUUGACUUUACUGAGAAACAAAACAGAAGAAAAUAGAACUUAAUUUUCAAAUGUCAGUUAAAAACCCAUAUUAAGUGCAAGCAAUAUAAAAGACAAAGAAAACAAAAAGGGAACAUCGAACCCCACUGAAACAUACUUGGCAGGGAAAAGCAUUGCCUCAACUUUUCCCUGCUCAGAUUUUAAGGCCUCUUCAAGAGGACUCUUGGAUGACUCUGAAAUUAAGGUACAGACCAAUUUAGCCAAUCCAAGGAAAGCAGAGAAUAAACAAUUGAAGUGAGAAGGUCCCGAGGUCCUAAGUAUGUCUGGCGAUCUCUUCUACCACUCCUUGACUCUUUGGAGCACACCCUGACAGUGACUCAUUUGCAACUGGUCCAUGUAGGUAAGCCUUAACUUUUCUACCCUCCAAUCCCACACCUGCAAGUUCAACACCUGGAAUGUGAGAGUUGUCACAGGAUGGGCACUCCAGGAAUUAGGGGAUUUACUGGGAGGGCUCUGGGGAUUGAUACAAAUGAAAGAGAAGAGACUUCCAGUAGCAAGAUUGGGCCAAAGGAGAAGUAGAGCUGUGAGGCAGGCUCAACAAUGGUUUUGGCUAACACUAUGGGGAGCUUCAGAACUUCCCCUGUUGGUGCAAGAGAACUUGGCUUUUAAGCUCCCUGUGGAUCAAUCACUGGAUGCUGAUUGCUGUGGGAAGGAAGCAUGACACUGAGCAAGGUGGCUCUCCAGCAAUUUAUAAAAGGGGCUGACAGCUGCCUACAGCUCUUAGCAGCUGGGGCAACAAUUCCUCCUUUCUUAAAGGAGGAUCUAAGUGAUACAUCACAGCAUCCGUCGCAAGGACACUAAGACAGACACUGAUAAUUCCAGCAAAAGAGUAGAAAUCAGAUGAGAAAGGGGAGCCCAGCAGACCCAGAUUCCCUAGUGCCUCCAGCCCUUCCAGAUGGUCCAUUGGCAGGAAGCUUGCUAUACAAAUCCAUCAGGCUCUGGAAGAUGCAAGACAAAAGCUGAGAGGUAAGCUUAAAUCUUCUUUUUGCUGGUGGCUGCAUGGCCCGACUCUGAUACAAAGGCAAUGUCCACUAGCAACAGGGAAGCCAGAAACAGCUCCAAAAAUUGAUUCUACAAAGGAAGGACGUGAUUCAGAGUAAGCUGUUGUCUUCAUUGUCUCUAAGGAACCUGUGCUUUCAAAGCUCAGAUUGGUUUAACUCAACUACCUUGGAAUGUGGUAAGCAGCAAAGGCAAGUUCACCAAGAUUUCAGUCAUGUUAUAAGGGCUGAGCCAUGCUGGGCAUUGCUCUCUCAGUGACUCUUAUCAAAAUAAGGAUGACUCAGAUUCUUGAGUUAGCUUCUCUGAAAGCCUUCUACUUGCAGCAACUGGAGCCUGAAUUCCAGUAUCAACAAGGCAAUAGAUGCUCAUGAAAUGGGACUAACCCUAGAAUGAGAAACAGAUCCACAGAGAGAAAGUCUGAUCAUUCCUAGGUUUGGCUAUCCUUUUCCAGCUCUUCACUCCAGCAUUUUAAGCUUGGCCUGCAUAAGGAGACCUGGGGCCUGGAAUGAAGCUCUGGUCUCAGGGAGCUCCAAGUGAGAUGAUCAUGGUUGAAGAAGGUCCAAAUGAAGUCAGGUGUGGAGGACUGACCUGCUAUUUUCCGGGAUGACCUUUUGAGUCAUGAAAAACCAGGGAGUUAUGAGCCAAAUGGCAGGCCUUAUCUAUUUGGAUCAUCUUGAUUUUAGAAGGGAUGCCGUAUACAGUUAAACAGUUUGUGCACUGCACAGCUCCAGGGCUGUAUUUACACAGACCACAAUGUGAUCGGCUAUCUAAUCCCUCACAUGCUUCCUCUGGGAGGUCUUUUCUGAUCCUCUCACAGUCCACGGGACUCUCCCUUCAGUGGACACUCAAAGAUGCUACCAGACGCGCCUCUGACCCCAGUCUCCAGAAAGGACCACGCCCUCCAGAAGAAUUCUCACUGGUGAAAUCUGAAGACCCUAGAUGAGCUGCCAAGGGUGAACCAAGAAGGGGGCUUUAACUCCUCAAGUAAAACCCAGUCCCCUCAGUGAUGUUGAACUACCCAUAGAAAAACCACAUCGAGGCCAGUUGUGGUGACUCAAGACUGUAAUCCCAGCAUUUUGGGAGGCUGAGGUGGGUGGAUCACUUGAGGUCAGGAGUUCGAGCCCAGCCUGGCCAACAUGGUGAAACCCUGUCUCUACUAAAAAUACAAAAAUUGGCCUGCCGUGGUGGCGUGUAUCUGUAGUCCCAGCUACUUGGGAGGCUGAGGCAGGAGAAUCACUUCAACCUGGGAGGCAGAGGGUGUAGUGAGCUGAGAUUGCACCACUGCACUCCAGCCUGGGCGAAAGAGUGAGACUCUGUCUCAAAAAAAAAAAAACAAGAAAAGAAAAACCACAUCGAGGUGGGCCAGGGAGGACCCAGCCAUUGCCACAGAGGUGUUCAAAUGCAACCUCCUCUUGCAUAUGAAGGGAGAUCAGCUGACAGUUUAGCUUGAAACUCUCAGGAUACCAGAAUUCCCUACUUAGGAGCUGGGGCCAGAGCCAGCCAUGUGCAUUUGUUCAGGCUUCAGACAUCCUUCCUUAGGAGCCAUCAGGAACUGGACUUAGUUGAGCUGCGACUAAAUUUCAUCUUGCUUCGAACAAGAGACUGCAACCUUCCCAUUAAUACCACUCAGGCCCGAGCCAGAAUCCCCCUGUAGCUAUGACCUGCUCACUUGAUUACCCACUCAGCCUGGUUGGUACAACACCCCACCCCCAUCACUGCUCCUGGCCCACCCUCUAGGACCAUAGACAGCCCAGGACAAAGCAGCUGUACUAAUAGUAUGAGACACCGCAUAUGUUACCUGUGAAAUCUAGUAUAUAUCACACUCCACCACCUCAGUCUGGUGGACAGAGGCCAGCUUGCUUUGAUCUUUCCAUCCCCAGGGGCUAGUGCAGUGAGGAACACAUAGUGGGAGUUCAAAAAGCAUUUGUUAAUACUGCCAUGCAUAUAAAACAAAGUUUAAAAUUUCCUAAAGUAAUAAAAGGAGCAUAGCUCUAGUAUCAUCUAUUUUUUAUUACGUUGUGUUUACACGCCUCUGGUUAGUAACCCAAACCUGUUUCCAUGGUGAAUGUGACAAGACUAUGUAAUUAUGGGUCUGUAACUUUUUCUUUUUCUCUUUCUUUGGAAAAAGCUAUGUGAUUGCAGGACUAUAACUGUAUCUUCCUUUGUAAACUAUUCCUAAAUGUUAUCUUGUAGCUAACCUGUCACAGCCAAGGGCCUCCUAGAGUAGGCUUCUCCUGCCAGAAAGUUGGCUAUUUCGUGCAAAGUUCUUAUAAAUGUUUAAGGAGAACUAAGGCAGAAAAAUUAAAGGCCAGAAUGAGAAAAAGAGAAAUAACAUUUUUGUGGAGCUAACUUAUGCCAGAAUCUAUAUGGCCUCAUUUAAUCCUCACAACCCUUAUUUCACAGAUGAGAAAACUAAGGCUCAGAGAGGUUGCCUGAAGAGACGCCCCCAUUGAAUCCCCUGCGUUCCAGACACACUCCUCCCUACUUUAUUUAUUUAUUUAUUUUGAGACGAAGUUUUGCUCUUGUUGCCCAGGCUGGAGUGCAAUGGUGUGAUCUCAGCUCACCACAACCUCCACCUCCCAGGUUCAAGCGAUUCUCCUGCCUCAGCCUCCUGAGUAGCUGGGUUUACAGGCAUGUGCCAUCACACCCAGCUAAUUUUGUAUUUUUAGUAGAGAUGGGUUUCUCCAUGUUGGUCAGGCUGGUCUUGAACUCCCGACCUCAGGUGAUCCACCCGCCUCGGCCUCCCAAACUGCUUUGAUUACAGGUGUGAGCCACCGCACCCAGCCUCUCCUCCCUACUUUAAUCGUGUAGCAGUAGCUCCUUGUGGCAAUCAGGGUCCUUUACCCUUGCUAGUGUAGUAAUUCCUUUCUUAGUUACCUCGUCCUUCAGUAUGAGGAUCCCAGAGUGAUCAGGUGGUAGUGGCCACUUCAAGUUCAACGAGUAAGUCCCAUGGCAUUCAUUCAUCCACUCCGCACUCCACCACGGAUACUAGCUGUGGGGAAAUAGCACCACAUGCCUUGUUUUGGCUCAAUGCAUUUCUAUAUCAUAGCGCAAAUCCAGCAGAGUGUUAUCUCUGAAAUGGAGCCUUACUGGGGAUGACACUGUAUUGGUCCGUUUUCACACUGCCAUAAAGAAUACUUGAGACUGGAUAAUUUAGAAACAAAAGAGGUUUAAUUGACUUACAGUUCUGCGUGGUUGGGGAAGCCUCAGGAAACUUACAAUCAUGGCGGAAGGUGAAGGGGAAGCAAGGCACGUCUUACAUGGCACCGAGACAGAGAGAGAGAGAGCGCACAGGGGAAACUGAAACUUUAAAACCAUCAGAUCUCAUGAGAACUCCCUCACUAUCAUGAGAACAGCAUGGCGGAAACCGCCCCCAUGAUUCAGUCACCUCCCACCAGCUCCCUCCCUGCAAUAUGGGUAUUACAAUUCAAGAUGAGAUUUGGGUGGGGACACAGAGCCAAAUCAUAUCAGACACUCCUUAAUAAGGUGUUCUAUUAAGGUGGUUGCUUCUGAAUAAUGGGGUACAUUGUCAGACCAGAGGAUUCUGGGUUAUGUGUCCAUUGUUGCACUCUCCCUGCCCUUUAUUUUAUUUUAUUUUAUUUUAUUUAUUUAUUUAUUUUUGAGAAAGAGCUUCACUCUGUUGCCCAGGCUGGAGUGCAGUGGCACAAUCUUGGCUCACUGCAACCUCCACCUCCCAGGUUCAAGUGAUUCUUGUGCAUCACCCUCCCAAGUAGCUGGGAUUACAUGUGCGCACCACCACACCUGGCUAAUUUUUGUAUUUUUAGUAGAGAUGGGGUUUUACCAUGUUGGCCAGGCUGGUCUCAAACUCCUGGCCUCAAGUGAUCUGCCCAUCUUGGACUCCCAAAGUGCUGGGAUUAUAGGCAUGAACCACAAUACCCAGCCUGUUGCACCCCUUUGUCAUAAAAAUGGGCCCUUUCUUCUGAGACAGUGUUGUGCUGUGUACCAUGCUAAGAGGCCAAGCAUCUUGUAGACCAAUAAUGGUAGCUCUUAUGGAGGCAUGGUGGGCUGGAAAAGAAAAUAUAACUGGAGUAAGUAUCAAUUUUGUUAAGGGACAAUUUCUACUUCCUCUGGCAUAAAAGAGUCUGAGAUAAUCAACCUGCCACAAAUGUCCUUGACGAACUUUGUGAUAUCAACGUUUCAAGGUCAGUUCUUGCUGUGGGUUAACCUGGGUGAGAGGGAACCCAUGUUGUUGGACCCAUACAUAGCUUCCAUCCCUGCCACCACAGGCACUCUGUUUGUGCAUUCAUUAUGCCACCACUGGAGUGGCUUAGGAGACAGGCUGGCUGACAUCCAUAGGAUAAGUCAUCCUGUCCAUCCACCUGGCUGUUGAGAGCCUUCUCUGCAAGGGAUGCUCCCUGUUGGGCAUCAAUGUGAGAUCCAAAGAUCUAGAUGCUUUUUACUUAUUCCCAGAAGUCCAUCCACAUGCCCUUUCCCCAGACAUCCUUGUCCCAUAUCUUCCAGUCUUACUCCUUUCAAGUUCCUGGCCAACCAGCCAAAGCAUUCAUUGCCGCCCCCAGAAUUCUUGUUAAUCCACACCUUAGGCUAGUUUUCCUCCCAUAAAAAAUGAAACAAUUAAAUUUACUACUGUUCUCUGCUUUACCUACCAGGAAAAUGUUCCUUUAACCACUGUACUUUAUAAAAUAAAUGUUUGGCCAAAACCAAUAAUUAAUGCCAACUCAUCUAUGAGAAAAUUUUCUCUCCCUUUAUUGGAUAUAGGAUGAAAGGGACUAGGACCCCUCUCCCCCACCAAUAAAGCCAGUGAUGUGAGUUGAGAGAGACAUACUGUUGCAACAAGGGUACUGAGU